GGGGGCGUAAAGGUUUCGACAGGGAUUUUGCAUCAUGGGAAGCGAGCAGCGGGGCGGGACCGCUAUAAAAUCCGCACCUUAAAAUUAACGGACAACAAUACUGUUGCUCUCGCGGCCUAAAUAGGCUGCCGUCCUAACCGGAAGUACCGCGGUCCGGGGUGGGCGUCGAUUAGCGGUGAACGUGAGCCGGAGGCUGCCUCUCCUCCGGCCAUGACGGGGAGGCUACCAAACCGGCGAGCCUGACGACGGGCGCGCUGUGGGAGGGAAUUCCAAAGCAUCGUCUGCGCUCGGAGAUGCCCGUGAGAAUAGGUUUCUGGACAGGGGUUCGACUCCCCUCGCCUCCACCA
RNAcentral lists this transfer-messenger RNA (347 nucleotides) under Bacillota bacterium. Its description in RNAcentral is "Firmicutes bacterium (gut metagenome) transfer-messenger RNA". It matches the Rfam family "transfer-messenger RNA". Rfam says of the family: Bacterial tmRNA, also known as 10Sa RNA or SsrA, is named for its dual tRNA and mRNA-like properties. Its role is to liberate the mRNA from a stalled ribosome. Lineage: Bacteria; Bacillati; Bacillota. RNAcentral also lists the same sequence under 1 other name. The record is from RNAcentral.